Coturnix japonica (Japanese quail) is the source of this 1618-nucleotide long non-coding RNA. RefSeq lists it as uncharacterized. The record is from RefSeq and is a predicted model, not a curated record. Lineage: Eukaryota; Metazoa; Chordata; Aves; Galliformes; Phasianidae.
CUGAGAACUCUUCUUCUGCCACACGUUGUACUUGGAGUACUUGGCGUGAGAUGGCUUCUGGAAGCUCUCCUGGGGAAGGGAGAACAACACAGAGUCAAUACAAGGCAGCUAGCAUCCCGAGUGCAGCCCUACCUUGUUGAGGGCUGGGAGGCCCACGAGGGAGGUGGCAGAGAGGUCACGCUCUGACUUGACGGACUUGGCACAGUAGGUUUCCAGCAGAGCCAGGUCACAGCUCCGAAAGCAGCACUCCUCCACAAUGCCACGGUUGAUCCUCCUGUUAUUUCGUCCCACUGGUCUACCUGUAGGGGCAGAGGCCUGAGCAUUAGCCAUCAAUGUAGACCAUAGCUUCGUCACCCUUUACCCAUUGCUCCCAAAGCACUCAUCUCCUUUGACAUAUGCCUGCAAAAUGCCUGAGUUUCCCAUGAUGACUUUCCUAGACAAACACUCUCAAUGCUGACGGGGUUCCUGGUGUGCGCAUGACACUAAUUAAAGGCACUUUCUAUUGCUGUAAUUUACUCCCUUCCUAUUGCUCCUUAGCAAGCCCAGAGCGGGCAGCAGUCCGGAUGCAGACGCCGCACCGAUUACCACAAAUGUCUGUGAUGUUGAUCCUGGCAAGAGAGUUUUAUUAGAAAGAAGCAGCGCGGCACUGCGGCUGCCAACCUCCCUCUGCCGUGUUGACGCUUGGGCAGGUGAAGCGAACCAACGUGGCUAAAUUUUACCAGAUGGGAUAGCUCGUAGACAGCUGCAGAAAGAAUACAGGCCCAUGACGGCAUGCCAAGAAUAGCUAUUAAACUUAAUCUUUUAAUAAGGGUUCCUCUCCUGUUUCUUCCUGAAGAAGGAUGCAAAAACCAGUGUCCAGUGCAGCAACAACCAAGCGCAUCUCAUGUCAGUAUUUAAGUACAGACAAAACACUCCAGAAGGAAGGCUCGGAUCAGCUUCAUUUUGUUCCUUUCCCUCUUGAAAGAAAAUCAAUGGGUAAAUUUGGAUUUUGGGUUCAAAACAAAUGUGGUUGGGAACAGCAACUUCCAAAAUGUAUAACAGUCCCAAACCAGACAGUUUUCUCUGGGCCUUCAUACACUGUGCCAAGGCAAAGGGCUGAAGUGGAGAGGACCAGUGCCCACACUGGAGCAGAAGCCAGGAUCAGUGGAGUUGCAAACGAGACCCAGGAACCACAGCCCAGCUGGGGGAAUGCUUCCUUGACCCUGUGUACAACCCAUGAUCCCUCCAUUUGCUCCACAUGAAGGCACUCAAGACUUCAGGCUUUGGCUUGCAAGGUGUUGACUGAUUUCCUCAUGGGGAACUCCAUCUGGAUGGCCACCCAAAGUGCCCCAGGACAAGAUGCAAAGCCAAAACAUAUUCUACGUGUGCUAUGCAAGCACACAUUCAGUACAGCCCUAUGUAUAUAGCACCAGCAUGCAAAACACACCAUGACCUUACCUCAACACAAACUCUGCAAAAGCAAAGCCCCUGGCAGCACAGCACCUGCUAUCUGUCAAACUCAGCCCUCGCUCCAUUUGCAGUGAGCCCUCUGCUCUGCUUUGGAGCAUCACCACCCUGUACUGAGGUCACGAAAGCAAACGCAGUAUCGGGUGCAUCACAAUAAAGCAACUGACUCAUA